This 45-nucleotide non-coding RNA is filed under the name Schistosoma haematobium. The record is from RNAcentral. Lineage: Eukaryota; Metazoa; Platyhelminthes; Trematoda; Strigeidida; Schistosomatidae.
AUCCAGCUGACGAGUCCCGAAUGGGACUAAACUCGUGUCGUGGAU